CCUACGGGUGGCAGCAGUAGGGAAUAUUGCUCAAUGGGGGAAACCCUGAAGCAGCAACGCCGCGUGGAGGAUGAAGGUUUUCGGAUUGUAAACCCCUUUUGUUAGAGAAGAUAAUGACGGUACCUAACGAAUAAGCACCGUCUAAAUCCGUGCCAGCAGCCGCGGUAAUACGGAGGGUGCAAGCGUUACUCGGAAUCAUUGGGCGGAAAGAGCGCGUAGGCGGGUUAGCAAGUCAGAUGUGAAAUCCUAUGGCUUAACCAUAGAACUGCAUUUGAAACUGUUAGUCUAGAGUAUGGGAGAGGUAGGUGGAAUUCUUGGUGUAGGGGUGAAAUCCGUAGAGAUCAAGAGGAAUACUCAUUGCGAAGGCGACCUGCUAGAACAUAACUGACGCUGAUGCGCGAAAGCGUGGGGAGCAAACAGGAUUAGAUACCCUAGUAGUC
RNAcentral lists this ribosomal RNA (440 nucleotides) under uncultured bacterium. RNAcentral's name for it is "partial 16S ribosomal RNA". It matches the Rfam family "Bacterial small subunit ribosomal RNA", at positions 338 to 795 of the family's 1533-position model. The record is from RNAcentral.